GUGUACCUGGCUGAAUGAAAAUGUCGUAGUUAAGUAAAGAAGGUUAAGAAGCAUGGUGGCACAAACUCAGUACUCACAAAGCCAAGUGGAAAAUUUCGAACGGGCUUGGAACAGAUACUGAUAUGAAGUAACGUAAACUUGAAAGGUUUUCCAGAAGAAUGUUUUCUCGACCCCCCCCCCUACUGUAAAUGUAUUGUUGUGCCAAAAUUGGACGCCCUCUUUUAGGACCCUGGCUAAAAGCCUGACUGGUACCAAACUUCCUGAAGUAUAGUGCCUCAGUUGGCACAUAGUCACUAGUGAA
Molecule: non-coding RNA, 301 nt
Organism: Paramuricea clavata
Lineage: Eukaryota; Metazoa; Cnidaria; Anthozoa; Malacalcyonacea; Plexauridae
Source: the annotation of a GenBank genome assembly